CAGUAGCCGCGGUAAUACGAAGGGUGCAAGCGUUACUCGGAAUUACUGGGCGUAAAGCGUGCGUAGGUGGUGGUUUAAGUCCGUUGUGAAAGCCCUGGGCUCAACCUGGGAAUUGCAGUGGAUACUGGGUCGCUAGAGUGUGGUAGAGGAUAGUGGAAUUUCCGGUAUAGCAGUGAAAUGCGUAGAGAUCGGAAGGAACAUCUGUGGCGAAGGCGACUAUCUGGGCCAACACUGACACUGAGGCACGAAAGCGUGGGGAGCAAACAGGAUUAGAUACCCCCGUAGUCCCUGUCUCUUAUAU
This 301-nucleotide ribosomal RNA is filed under the name uncultured bacterium. RNAcentral's name for it is "partial 16S ribosomal RNA". It matches the Rfam family "Bacterial small subunit ribosomal RNA", at positions 509 to 809 of the family's 1533-position model. The record is from RNAcentral.